GACGAACGCUGGCGGCGUGCUUAACACAUGCAAGUCGAACGGAAAGGCCCUGCUUUUGUGGGGUGCUCGAGUGGCGAACGGGUGAGUAACACGUGAGUAACCUGCCCUUGACUUUGGGAUAACUUCAGGAAACUGGGGCUAAUACCGGAUAGGAGCUCCUGCUGCAUGGUGGGGGUUGGAAAGUUUCGGCGGUUGGGGAUGGACUCGCGGCUUAUCAGCUUGUUGGUGGGGUAGUGGUUUACCAAGGCUUUGACGGGUAGCCGGCCUGAGAGGGUGACCGGCCACAAGGGGACUGAGAGACGGACCAGACUCGUACGGGAGGCAGCAGGGGGGAAUAUUGUACAACGGGCGGAAGCCGGAGGCAGCAACGCUGGGGGUGGGAUGACGGCCUGCGGGGUGUAAACCGCUUUCGCCUGUGACGAAGCGGGAGUGACGGUAAUGGGUAAAGAAGCACCGGCUAACUACGUG
Molecule: ribosomal RNA, 468 nt
Filed under: uncultured bacterium
Lineage: Bacteria
Description: partial 16S ribosomal RNA
Rfam family: Bacterial small subunit ribosomal RNA
Source: RNAcentral